This is a long non-coding RNA of Cyprinus carpio carpio, 1380 nucleotides long. NCBI's taxonomy places the organism in Eukaryota, Metazoa, Chordata, Actinopteri, Cypriniformes, Cyprinidae. The record is from Ensembl.
GGCGAUAUGAUCUCAGAUUGCCUCAGAUUAGAUGCAAAGCAUGUGAAGCCACUUGGAGUCCUGGAGUGGAUGACCUGAUCCGUAAUGACUACUGGCCUGCCACUUCUCACUAUUCAACUGUGUAUGCAACAGAUGUCCUUUUUUUCUUUUUGAAGAGCUGAAGAUGGCAGCACCAGGGAUGUCUAGCCAAGCAUUUCUUAGAAUGCUGGAUCAACGCACUGUUCGAUUUGGCCGUAGUGGAAACAUCACAGCAGACAGCUUCCGGAAAAAGCUUCUUGGAGUGGGAAGCUGUCCGAUUCGAAGUGGACAAAUUAUGCCAGGAGGACCACUUUGACUGCCCAGCGUGCAGCCCAGACAUGCUUGCAGUAUCCGUUGAUGGAAACCGUAAGCACUACAGAUUCAAGAGUGCAGCAAGAUCGGAGGAAAAAGCCAUCUUUGAUGGCGUGUUCAUCGCAAAUGAUGAUGAUGUCGCAAGAUUCGUGGACUAUGUCCAUACCUCAACCAGUCAUGUCUCUGGAAGAGGUGUCUGUGGAGGGCAAUGGUCAGCGGCGCGUGAAACUUCUCAGAAGUCCUCAGGAAAAACAGACGAGGAGGGCCUGGAACUCGCUGUAUGUCGUCAUGGGGUUCUCCUUCGUGCCCUCAAUAUGUUCAGGGGGAGAUUUUUUUGCCUACCCCCUGUACCUCCAAAAGCAAAUGGCCUGUAAGCCAGUUAAAUUUUUUGCAAUGGAUGUGGCAUGCAAGUACUGGCCUUACCUCCAGAGAGUGACAGAGAAAUGCCCUGAGCUUGAGGAUCUCCUCACCAUGAGGCCAUUUCUUUCUGUUUUUCAUGCCAAAGCUCAUGAUUUCAAAUGUGAGGUAAAAUGGAGUGGAGCAUAUCAGGAGGGGGCUGGUUCGACUCUUGGGGAAGAGGUGGAGCAGUGCAACGCCUUCCUCUCGAGGAUUGCUGUUACGACAAAGCACAUGUCAAAAGCAGGACGCAUAGACAUGCUGACGAUCAUGGCCAUGCGCUGGAACCAACAAAAGUUUGACAACUUGGCUUCUACCCUUGCCCGCCGAUAUCGGAAGGCCACAAUAGCCCUGCAAUGCCAGUUGCAUAACCUGGAGGCCAUGAAAACGGAAAUGGACGUCUCAGACAAUCAACUGGAGAGGUGGAUCAUUGAUAUCAAUGAGUGGGCAGAAGCAACAACAUCCCCAAAUGAUGCUGAUGUUGCCGCUGUUGCCAGCCGAAUUGAGGAGCUGGUGGCAAGUGUUAAGAGGAGGUCCCAGCGUCUUUACAAGGAUAGUGACGGAUGCAAAGGGACGUGCCCGAAUCCGCCGAAAGAUCAGGGAGGAAAAAUCUUAAAUUCUGUAGUGGAAAAAGUACAACACCUUGGUUCCUAA